UUUCCGUAGGUGAACCUGCGGAAGGAUCAUUAUUGAAUGAAACACUUCUGGCUUUAUGCUGUUGUGCUGGCCCUUUGGGAAAUGUGCACACGGUUCUGGUCACUUGUUUCUUCUGUUCCACCUGUGCACUGCCUGUAGACACGCUGUUUCUAUGAUAUUUGUUAACACACAACAAUGUUAGUUGGCAUGUUAUAUAUAAUAAUAAAAUAUACAACUUUCAACAACGGAUCUCUUGGCUCUC
This 241-nucleotide unclassified non-coding RNA is filed under the name plant metagenome. RNAcentral describes it as "partial contains small subunit ribosomal RNA, internal transcribed spacer 1, and 5.8S ribosomal RNA". The record is from RNAcentral.